This 75-nucleotide transfer RNA is filed under the name Halobacillus sp. BAB-2008. RNAcentral's name for it is "tRNA-Gly". The record is from RNAcentral. Lineage: Bacteria; Bacillati; Bacillota; Bacilli; Caryophanales; Bacillaceae.
AAGGUGGGGGUCGCGGGUUCGAAUCCCGUCUCCCGCUCCAAUAAAACUUUGAAUAUAUUCAGUGCCACUUGAAUA